UGACGGUAUCAUAUGAAUAAGCACCGGCUAACUCCGUGCCAGCAGCCGCGGUGAUACGGGGGGUGCAAGCGUUACUCGGAAUCACUGGGCGUAAAGAGCAUGUAGGCGGGUGAAUAAGUUGGAAGUGAAAUCCUAUAGCUUAACUAUAGAACUGCUUCCAAAACUGUUCACCUAGAGUAUGGGAGAGGUAGAUGGAAUUUCUGGUGUAGGGGUAAAAUCCGUAGAGAUCAGAAGGAAUACCGAUUGCGAAGGCGAUCUACUGGAACAUUACUGACGCUCAGAUGCGAAAGCGUGGGGAGCAAACAGGAUUAGAUACCCUGGUAGUCCACGCCCUAAACGAUGUACACUAGUUGUUGCUAUACUAGAUAUGGCAGUAAUGCAGUUAACACUUUAAGUGUACCGCCUGGGGAGUACGGUCGCAAGAUUAAAACUCAAAGGAAUAGACGGGGACCCGCACAAGCGGUGGAGCAUGUGGUUUAAUUCGACGAUACGCGAAAAACCUUACCUGGCCUUGACAUAGUAGGAAUCUUUAAGAGAUUAGAGAGUGCUAGCUUGCUAGAACCUACAUACAGGUGCUGCACGGCUGUCGUCAGC
Molecule: ribosomal RNA, 594 nt
Filed under: uncultured bacterium
Lineage: Bacteria
Description: bacterial SSU rRNA
Rfam family: Bacterial small subunit ribosomal RNA
Source: RNAcentral